RNAcentral lists this non-coding RNA (55 nucleotides) under unclassified sequences. RNAcentral describes it as "Xanthine-I sequence". It matches the Rfam family "Xanthine riboswitch aptamer (NMT1 RNA)". Rfam says of the family: Later it was reported as a ncRNA that recognised Xanthine. The record is from Rfam by way of RNAcentral.
AGCGAGAGUAGAAGCGUUCAGCGGCCGAAACAGCCGCCCGGAAAUUGCUCUUGAA